This 460-nucleotide ribosomal RNA is filed under the name uncultured bacterium. RNAcentral's name for it is "partial 16S ribosomal RNA". It matches the Rfam family "Bacterial small subunit ribosomal RNA", at positions 338 to 795 of the family's 1533-position model. The record is from RNAcentral.
CCUACGGGGGGCAGCAGUGAGGAAUAUUGGUCAAUGGACGCAAGUCUGAACCAGCCAUGCCGCGUGCAGGAAGACGGCUCUAUGAGUUGUAAACUGCUUUUGUACGAGGGUAAACGCAGAUACGCGUAUCUGUCUGAAAGUAUCGUACGAGUAAGGAUCGGCUAAGUCGGGGCCAGCAGCCGCGGGAAUACGGAGGAUUCAAGCGUUAUCCGGAUUGAUUGGGUUUAAGGGGGGCGUAGGCGGUCGGAUAAGUUAGAGGUGAAAUCCCGAGGCUCAACUUCGGAAUUGCCUCUGAUACUGUUCGGCUAGAGAGUAGUUGCGGUAGGCGGAAUGUAUGGUGUAGCGGUGAAAUGCUUAGAGAUCAUACAGAACACCGAUUGCGAAGGCAGCUUACCAAGCUACUUCUGACGUUGAGGCACGAAAGCGUGGGGAGCAAACAGGAUUAGAUACCCCUGUAGUC